RNAcentral lists this ribosomal RNA (497 nucleotides) under uncultured bacterium. Its description in RNAcentral is "partial 16S ribosomal RNA". It matches the Rfam family "Bacterial small subunit ribosomal RNA", at positions 28 to 507 of the family's 1533-position model. The record is from RNAcentral.
GAUGAACGCUGGCGGCGUGCCUAAUACAUGCCAGUCGAGCGAACGGACGAGAAGCUUGCUUCUCUGAUGUUAGCGGCGGACGGGUGAGUAACACGUGGAUAACCUACCUAUAAGACUGGGAUAACUUCGGGAAACCGGAGCUAAUACCGGAUAAUAUUUUGAACCGCAUGGUUCAAAAGUGAAAGACGAUCUUGCUGUCACUUAUAGAUGGAUCCGCGCUGCAUUAGCUAGUUGGUAAGGUAACGGCUUACCAAGGCAACGAUGCAUAGCCGACCUGAGAGGGUGAUCGGCCACACUGGAACUGAGACACGGUCCAGACUCCUACGGGAGGCAGCAGUAGGGAAUCUUCCGCAAUGGGCGAAAGCCUGACGGAGCAACGCCGCGUGAGUGAUGAAGGUCUUCGGAUCGUAAAACUCUGUUAUUAGGGAAGAACAUAUGUGUAAGUAACUGUGCACGUCUUGACGGUACCUAAUCAGAAAGCCACGGCUAACUACGUG